Long non-coding RNA from Athene cunicularia (burrowing owl), 3186 nucleotides. RefSeq lists it as uncharacterized. The transcript is spliced from 2 exons. NCBI's taxonomy places the organism in Eukaryota, Metazoa, Chordata, Aves, Strigiformes, Strigidae. The record is from RefSeq and is a predicted model, not a curated record.
UAAGCAUCCCCAGCUGCCAGGGGGUUCCCCAGAGCAGUUAUUUACUGACGUGGCUCCUGUUGUCACAUCUGACGUGUUCUGUUCACAGCAACGCUCGGGCGUUAUAUAGCCUGAAUUUACCCAAGGUAUUAUUUACAGCGCGUGUUCAAACUUGCUGCAGCCUUUCCAGCGUAGUCAGCGUGGGCCAAGAGAUUUGAUAGUAUUUUUUUGCCUUGUCACAUCUGGCUUUGUGAAGAAGGACCUGCUAAAUAGCUGUACGAUGAUAUCUGUAAUGUCAAGGUGUGACUUUCUUCACUGAGUUUCCCAACAAGUGAUGCUUUGUAGGUCUUAAAUGCAACCUCCAUUCCUAGAGGUCAUGCCGGGAAGUUCUUUUGCCUACUAAGGAGACUUGGCAAAAGGAAGUUCAGAUAAAACAUCAAAUCACUUUGUUUUUCUACUGCUCCUAGCAAGCAGUAGCCCUGUGUCCCUUUCCCUUUGAAAAUGCCUUCUGCGUUUUCCUCCUUUGUCAGCAGGGGAAACAUCAGCUUGUCUGCAAAACGGCGAAAGGCUCCCAGGACACAGAAAGGGCAAUAGAUGUUUAGUUCUGUUGCCAAUUCAUAAUGUAGCACAGCAUUCUCGAAAACGUUCUCGUGCACUAACUGCAUUAUUUGCCGAAUUUGUGUAACUGUUCCGUUAACAUGCAAACUCUGUGCAGAAAACCUUAGCCCGCCACUUACUAGUAGCAUGUUCCUAAGAGACACAACCCAGGUGAAUGAAUACACACUGGUCUGUUCCUCAGUAAGAUUAUAUUCCUGUUUGAGGUGGGAAGAAAUAACCAAAAUGACAGUUUUCCUUUGAGAGGUGCACCGCAGAGGCCUGCGUACUGUUUGAAGCUGUUGCCAAACCAAAGCGUGUGCUCGCACACCUGUUUCAUCUGCCAGUGUACUGACAGAUGUGUAUUCCAAAAGGAUUUGUGAAAACCUGAUAACGUUUUAGUCUAGUCGUUUUCCUUACUACAAGAUGUUCUCUACUUUCACGGAGGUUUUUGCCAGCUUUGUAUGGUGCUGUAGCGCACGCACCACUUAGGCGCAGGUGGUUUAAUCCUAAUGUUGUACAGGAGGAUGCUAGGAUUUGCGUUACUCUGGUUCUGCCUUCAUGUUAGAAAUUCUUAAUUAUGAUCACAUACUCUACCUUUCCGGAGGAGACAUGCUUCGUUCAGUGCAUGAGUGGGCAGUAGUGACUUUUAAUUCCUUUCAAGCCGUGGUUUCUGGAUAUUUGUAUUCCAGCUGUAACAGCAUGGUUAGAAAAACAAGUCAAAAUCAAAACCUGAUUGAAAAUGUGUCACAAGAGUAAGAUUUCAUGGUAUAAUUAUGCAAAACCAGAAGACUUUGUGUUAAAGCAAUUCUGUGUAAAGGAGAUAUAGGUUUUGUAAAAAAUAUUGGCGUUUCCGUUUGAGACGCUAGAUUAAUACCACUGAUUGUCACCAAUAACCUAUUCAUUUUAGGGUGUUGUGUGAAGAAUGCCAGGGGCACACGCACCUAGCGGACUCACAUCCCUGUCUAGGCCCGUGGCCUUUGGUACUGCUCGUGCUUGGAGUUAAAGCCCAUCUGUUGGAGAAUAGCUUCAGAGGCUUAUGAUGUUCCACUGUGUGCUACUAAGCAAGAUGAUGUACAUUCCUGAGACUUCCCCCCCCGCCCCCUUGGUAGUUUAGGAAAAUUUUAGAGCUUUUAAGCUGACAGGUGGCUCAAGAAAAGCAUGCAAAGCCUACUUCAGCACACUAGAGCCCACUGGGAUUCUCCUACUGUCACUCCUCUUGGAUGCAAAUUAGGAGCAAGGCUCUAGCAAGUUCAGCGCUUUCUUAAUCCAAAGCAAAGUGCAAUCCAGAACUGUGAAUACAGAAGAGGAGAAGAUUUUUAAAUCACACUGAACUUUCCUGUCAGAAACUCUGUAAUCUUACUGAGCCUCCUGUGGAUAGAGGUGAUGAGUCGAGCGUGUAGCAGCAGGUGAUGACAGUGCAGGGGCAGCUGAGUGAAGGGAGGGGAAGCAAUAUGAAGGACAAUGACAUUGGCAUCAGUCGAGCUGCUCCCCUUCCCCUGCUCCAGUCCCUGCUGCUCAAACAAAAAACCCUGGAAGUAACCAGCCUGAGUCUGUAGCGGGCUGCUGGAUGUGCAGGUGCUCCAGGCGGGGCUGGAGACGGAGGCGGGAACUUGCUCACGGAGAGAGUCUGUAGGAGGCGGGAAGCACCCAGCACAGGGCGUGCUGCUGAAAUCGUGGGGUACCACCGUGAGGAGUUGGGGUUAGUGCUGGUAUUGUGAGCUUGGGAGCCCCAGCAUGUGGUGAAAGCUGGGGGCAGGCUGGAGCCUCGGCCCUGGGCUGGGGUAGGCAGCUGCAGGGCAGUUGUGCUUGGCAGUGAACGCCUUCAUCUUUGCCGCUGCUCUGGGAAAACAAGCAGCGUUCCUGUCCAGCUCUUUUCUCAAGAGGACCUUGCCAAGAAGGGUGCUGUGAGUCACACAUCUCUCUGGCAAGUACUUGGAUUUCCAUAUUCUAAGACACCUUUACUUCAAGAUUGUCUUGAGCUGCAUUAAUGUCAAAGUUGACUUUAAGGUUGUGUCGGCAGCAGUUAGAGAAACCCACGCGCUGCUCAGCUGAAAACAAGGUGUAUUUUAAGUUGCCUUUUGCUAAGGCGGCUUCGCCCAGUUCAAGGUCAGGGCAUAGGCUGUAACGAGUGAUGUUUAUCAGAAAAGAAUCCCUGUGCAGGGACUUUAUGUAAUUUAAGACUAGCAGAAGCAGUGCAAAUGACUGCUUUAGGCAGCAUGUGAUCUUCUUUGAGCCAGUAACUGUUAUGGGAGCUGAAAAGAGUCACUCUAUUGCUUACUUCACCAGAAUGAUGUAUGUUACGGCCUCAUACUGAUCUGUGUGUUGGCUGCAGAGCUGUGGUCCUAGAUUGUAUUCUUUUUAAAUUCCAAAAAGGAAGAACUGUACAUCUGCAGACGAUGUUUCUGAUAGACUUUUAUUCUAAUUUCAGGUGAGAGGUUACAUCCGUGGAACACAAACAGUGCUUCUCCUGGAGCCGCAGUUUAAUAGCCGUAGUUGCUGUGACUGCUACAGCUUGCUGACUGUCUGAAGAUGAAAUCUAUUCAGACCCAAGCAACUGGUCAGAUUUUGAGACUAAUGAAACUUGAUUUAAAAUAAAACUUUAUUACAUGA